RNAcentral lists this ribosomal RNA (203 nucleotides) under Staphylococcus argenteus. RNAcentral's name for it is "partial 16S ribosomal RNA". It matches the Rfam family "Bacterial small subunit ribosomal RNA", at positions 1 to 197 of the family's 1533-position model. Lineage: Bacteria; Bacillati; Bacillota; Bacilli; Caryophanales; Staphylococcaceae. The record is from RNAcentral.
UUUUAUGGAGAGUUUGAUCCUGGCUCAGGAUGAACGCUGGCGGCGUGCCUAAUACAUGCAAGUCGAGCGAACAGACGAGAAGCUUGCUUCUCUGAUGUUAGCGGCGGACGGGUGAGUAACACGUGGAUAACCUACCUAUAAGACUGGGAUAACUUCGGGAAACCGGAGCUAAUACCGGAUAAUAUUUUGAACCGCAUGGUUCA